UCACCUCUACCUCGUCUACGUAGAUCCCCUUGUCGGGGCCGUGGGAGUCAUGGCCGAUACGAAUCCUAUCCAACUAGGGAUAACAGAGAAAUUUUGAUUUAAAUCGUAAAGAGCGAAUAUUAAAUGGUAAGAAUCUUUAAGACCAUCACGGAAAUGUGAUUACUGACAAACCGCAAGGAGGGGCUGUAAGAAUGUAAAAGAGGUCUCGGCAAAAAGACGGAGGAACCGCAAAGAGAGGCUGUAAGAAUGAAAAAGAGGUCUCGGCAAAAAGACGAAGGAACCGCAAAGAGAGGCUGUAAGAAUGUAAAAGAGGUCUCGGCAAAAAGACGAAGGAACCGCAAAGAAAGGCUGUAAGAAUGUAAAAGAGGUCUCGGCAAAAAGACGAAGGAACCGCAAAGAGAGGCUGUAAGAAUGAAAAAGAGGUCUCGGCAAAAAGACGAAGGAACCGCAAAGAGAGGCUGUAAGAGAAUGUAAAAGAGGUCUCGGCAAAAAGACGAAGGAACCGCAAAGAGAGGCUGUAAGAAUGUAAAAAAGGUCUCGGCAUGAAGACGAAGGAACCACAAAGAGACGCUGUAAAAAAGUAAAAGAGGUCUCGGUAUGAGGACGAAGGAACCACAAAGAGACGCUGGAAGAAUGUAAAAAAGGUCUCUGCAUGAAGACGAAGGAACCACAAAGAGACGCUGUAAAAAAGUAAAAGAGUUCUCGGUAUGAGGACGAAGGAACCACAAAGAGAGGCUGUAAGAAUGUAAAAAAGGUCUCGGUGUGAGGACGAAGGAACCGCGAAGAGAGGCUGUAAGAAUGUAAAAAAGGUCUCUGCAUGAAGACGAAGGAACCGCAAAGAGAGGCUGCAUGAAGACAAAGGAACCGCAAGUAGACGCUGUAAGAAUGUAAGAGAGCAUCUCGGCAUGAGGACGAAGGAACCGCAAGUCGAGGCUGUAAGAAUGUAAGAGAGCAUCUUGGCAGGACGAAGGAACAGAAAAUAGCUAGUUCAGAGCGAAAACCAAAUAUGUCCUUUAUUGGUGUAAUUCGUUUAGAACUGUAGACACCAAUGCAAUCGGAAAGAGGGAAUGACAAUAAGUUUUUACACUUCUAAGUUCAUUAGACAGAAGAUUCUAAGUUCAUUAGACAUAAGAUAACAAUGAAAAGCAAUGUCACAACUAAAAGGAAUCAAUGACAGAUUUUUAAUUUUCCUUUCAAAUCUGUACUUUUUGCGAGAGCGUUGUUCUCAGCUUUUGUUGCAAAUGUAUUCUUACUUUGUGUUUUUAAGCACUGUAAUUGUAAGUGUUUGUCUAACAGUGAUCGGGCAGCUAUGCAUUAUAUUUUCUUUCAGAUAAACAUUCAACAAUAAGCUCUGAGAAUAAACCAGAUGUUGGUGGGUUUUCAAGAUGCAGGCCAUUCAAUAUAAAGUGUUGACCCAAUAGAGUCGAUAAAAGUCCCAGCUCCUACUGAUCGUGCACUCUCAUUACAAGCAACAGAUUAAUGUACACACCUUUCCAACAGUCGGCAUUUCCACUGAAAACUUAUAAACUUUUCCUUCCUGGAAUGUAUCGGUAGGUCCCCCUGUGGGUCUUAGAACGAUCCUGCUACUCUCCCCCUUGUCUCCACAAAGCUGAAGGUAGAGCUUGGCAUUAGGGUUGAACACACGGCCGAGCUGCAUAGAGACAUCAUACUGCUGGGCUGAAAGACAAAACAUGAGAAAUGGAAUUAUGAUAAAAAGUAUCGCAGACACUUGCAUA
Molecule: long non-coding RNA, 1736 nt
Organism: Nematostella vectensis (starlet sea anemone)
Lineage: Eukaryota; Metazoa; Cnidaria; Anthozoa; Actiniaria; Edwardsiidae
Exons: 2
Source: RefSeq, a predicted model, not a curated record